This 601-nucleotide ribosomal RNA is filed under the name uncultured bacterium. RNAcentral describes it as "bacterial SSU rRNA". It matches the Rfam family "Bacterial small subunit ribosomal RNA", at positions 338 to 1414 of the family's 1533-position model. The record is from RNAcentral.
CCUACGGGAGGCAGCAGUGGGGAAUCUUGCGCAAUGGGCGAAAGCCUGACGCAGCAACGCCGCGUGCGGGAAGAAGGCUUUCGGGCUGUAAACCGCUUUCAGCAGGAACGAAAAUGACGGUACCUGCAGAAGAAGGAGCGGCCAACUAUGUGCCAGCAGCCGCGGUGAUACAUAGGCUUCAAGCGUUGUCCGGAUUUAUUGGGCGUAAAGAGUUCGUAGGCGGUCGAGUAAGUCGGGUGUGAAAAUUCUGGGCUCAACCCAGAGACGCCACCCGAUACUGCUUGACUUGAGUUCGAUAGGGGAGUGGGGAAUUCCUAGUGUAGCGGUGAAAUGCGCAGAUAUUAGGAGGAACACCGGUGGCGAAGGCGCCACUCUGGAUCGAUACUGACGCUGAGGAACGAAAGCAUGGGUAGCAAACAGGAUUAGAUACCCUGGUAGUCCAUGCCGUAAACGGUGGGCACUAGGUGUGGGAUUCUAUUAACGAAUUCCGCGCCGUCGCUAACGCAUUAAGUGCCCCGCCUGGGGGAGGUACGGUCGCGAGACUAAACUUAAAUAGAGUAGACGGCGUGAGACGUGCCGACGACGACGACGAGGGAGUAGG